GUACAUGCGCAGCUGAGCAGCAACGCCGCGUGAGUGAAGAAGGCCUUCGGGUCGUAAAGCCCUGUCAGGUGGGACGAAUGUCCUGGGGGUUAAUACACUUCGUGGAGUGACGGUACCACCAGACGACGCACCGGCUAACACCGUGCCAGCAGCCGCGGUAAUAA
Molecule: ribosomal RNA, 164 nt
Filed under: uncultured sulfate-reducing bacterium
Lineage: Bacteria
Description: partial 16S ribosomal RNA
Rfam family: Bacterial small subunit ribosomal RNA
Source: RNAcentral